UCGAAACCUGCCCAGCAGAGCGACCCGUGAACAUGUUCAACYUCAUGGGUGCNNNNNCGGCAGGUGCCUUGUGCCCCUGCUUGCCCCUAUCCCAGGCCNAGAGGCGCCNACUUGUGAGCUGUCCCCUUGGCCCAACAACGAANCCCNGCGCGUAAUGCNUCAAGGAAUAUAAACUUAAUGUGUGUGCUCUCCCUCUGCCCGGUUAGCCGGUGCGGGGGAGUGGUGCCAUGUCUUAACAAUA
Molecule: ribosomal RNA, 241 nt
Filed under: Atocion compactum
Lineage: Eukaryota; Viridiplantae; Streptophyta; Magnoliopsida; Caryophyllales; Caryophyllaceae
Source: RNAcentral